AACGAACGCUGGCGGCAUGCCUAACACAAGCAAGUCGAACGAGACCUUCGGGUCUAGUGGCGCACGGGCGCGUAACGCGUGGGAAUCUACCCUUGGGUUCGGAAUAACAGUUAGAAAUGACUGCUAAUACCGGAUGAUGACGUAAGUCCAAAGAUUUAUCGCCCAAGGAUGAGCCCGCGUAAGAUUAGCUUGUUGGUGGGGUAAUGGCCUACCAAGGCGACGAUCUUUAGCUGGUCUGAGAGGAUGAUCAGCCACACUGGGACUGAGACACGGCCCAGACUCCUACGGGAGGCAGCAGUGGGGAAUAUUGGACAAUGGGCGAAAGCCUGAUCCAGCAAUGCCGCGUGAGUGAUGAAGGCCUUAGGGUUGUAAAGCUCUUUUACCAGGGAUGAUAAUGACAGUACCUGGAGUAUAAGCUCCGGCUAACUCCGUGCCAGCCGCCGCUGUAA
RNAcentral lists this ribosomal RNA (449 nucleotides) under uncultured bacterium. Its description in RNAcentral is "partial 16S ribosomal RNA". It matches the Rfam family "Bacterial small subunit ribosomal RNA", at positions 29 to 523 of the family's 1533-position model. The record is from RNAcentral.